AAUACCCUGCCUUGUUCGCACUAAGGGCACGACGUCUCUGACCCAACAUGUAAAUGUUAAUGGGAGCUCGACGUUCAUACGGGGCCCGCACGUUCUCUUCGGAGAAAUCCGGAAUCCGUAUGACAGAGCACCCACCUCGCAAAACGAGGUACAGAGAUUGCGCCCCGACGACUAUGGCGGGGUAUUU
RNAcentral lists this non-coding RNA (187 nucleotides) under Lentisphaerae bacterium GWF2_57_35. Its description in RNAcentral is "6S RNA". It matches the Rfam family "6S / SsrS RNA". From Rfam's summary of the family: E. coli 6S RNA was the first non coding RNA to be sequenced, but its function was unknown until recently. It consists of 184 nucleotides that fold into an extended hairpin structure with a large single-stranded internal bulge. The record is from RNAcentral. RNAcentral also lists the same sequence under 1 other name. Lineage: Bacteria; Pseudomonadati; Lentisphaerota.